AUACGUAGGUGCCAAGCGUUAUCCGGAUUUACUGGGCGUAAAGGGCGUGUAGGCGGUCUUGCAAGUCAGAAGUGAAAUUCCUGAGCUCAACUCGGGCGCUGCUUCUGAAACUGCAGGACUUGAGUGCUGGAGGGGAUAGCGGAAUUCCUAGUGGAGCGGUAAAAUGCGCAGAUAUUAGGAAGAACACCGGUGGCGAAGGCGGCUAUCUGGACAGUAACUGACGCUGAGGCGCGAAAGCGUGGGGAGCAAACAGGAUUAGAUACCCUGGUAGUCCACGCUGUAAACGAUGAUUACUAGGUGUGGGGGGACUGACCCCUUCCGUGCCGCAGUUAACACAAUAAGUAAUCCACCUGGGGAGUACGGCCGCAAGGUUGAAACUUAAAGGAAUUGACGGGG
Molecule: ribosomal RNA, 396 nt
Filed under: uncultured bacterium
Lineage: Bacteria
Description: partial 16S ribosomal RNA
Rfam family: Bacterial small subunit ribosomal RNA
Source: RNAcentral